Molecule: ribosomal RNA, 253 nt
Filed under: uncultured bacterium
Lineage: Bacteria
Description: partial 16S ribosomal RNA
Rfam family: Bacterial small subunit ribosomal RNA
Source: RNAcentral
UACGUAGGGUGCAAGCGUUGUCCGGAAUUAUUGGGCGUAAAGAGCUCGUAGGCGGUUUGUCGCGUCUGCUGUGAAAACUCGGGGCUUAACCCCGGGCCUGCAGUGGGUACGGGCAGACUAGAGUGCGGUAGGGGAGACCGGAAUUCCUGGUGUAGCGGUGAAAUGCGCAGAUAUCAGGAGGAACACCGGUGGCGAAGGCGGGUCUCUGGGCCGUAACUGACGCUGAGGAGCGAAAGCGUGGGGAGCGAACAGG